Molecule: ribosomal RNA, 429 nt
Filed under: bacterium
Lineage: Bacteria
Description: partial 16S ribosomal RNA
Rfam family: Bacterial small subunit ribosomal RNA
Source: RNAcentral
UAGGGAAUCUUCGGCAAUGGGGGCAACCCUGACCGAGCAACGCCGCGUGAGUGAAGAAGGUUUUCGGAUCGUAAAGCUCUGUUGUAAGAGAAGAACGUGUGUGAGAGUGGAAAGUUCACACAGUGACGGUAACUUACCAGAAAGGGACGGCUAACUACGUGCCAGCAGCCGCGGUAAUACGUAGGUCCCGAGCGUUGUCCGGAUUUAUUGGGCGUAAAGCGAGCGCAGGCGGUUUAAUAAGUCUGAAGUUAAAGGCAGUGGCUUAACCAUUGUUCGCUUUGGAAAAUGUUAAACUUGAGUGCAGAAGGGGAGGGUGGAAUUCCAUGUGUAGCGGUGAAAUGCGUAGAUAUAUGGAGGAACACCGGUGGCGAAAGCGGCUCUCUGGUCUGUAACUGACGCUGAGGCUCGAAAGCGUGGGGAGCAAACAGG